UUUUACUCUCAUGACACCAAUAUUCUUAGCAGAGCAUUUACCCUAAACAUAAAAUCAUAGACUCACUCUGACAUUGGCAAAUCCUCACGGAAGCCAUUAUACAAGAAGAAGAAGAAGAAGGUAGAGAUAUUGAGUG
Molecule: long non-coding RNA, 136 nt
Organism: Melitaea cinxia (Glanville fritillary)
Lineage: Eukaryota; Metazoa; Arthropoda; Insecta; Lepidoptera; Nymphalidae
Exons: 3
Source: RefSeq, a predicted model, not a curated record